Molecule: ribosomal RNA, 465 nt
Filed under: uncultured bacterium
Lineage: Bacteria
Description: bacterial SSU rRNA
Rfam family: Bacterial small subunit ribosomal RNA
Source: RNAcentral
CCAGACUCCUACGGGAGGCAGCAGUGAGGAAUAUUGGUCAAUGGGCGGAAGCCUGAACCAGCCAAGUCGCGUGAGGGAAGAAGGCCCUGCGGGUCGCAGACCUCUUUGGACGGGGAGCAAGGCCGCCGACGUGUCGGCGGAAGGAGAGUACCCGUAGAACAAGCAUCGGCUAACUCCGUGCCAGCAGCCGCGGUAAUACGGAGGAUGCGAGCGUUAUCCGGAUUUAUUGGGUGUAAAGGGUGCGUAGACGGGAAAAUAAGUUAGUUGUGAAAUCCCUCGGCUCAACUGAGGAACUGCAACUAAAACUAUUUUUCUUGAGUGCAGGAGAGGAAAGUGGAAUUCCUAGUGUAGCGGUGAAAUGCGUAGAUAUUAGGAGGAACACCAGUGGCGAAGGCGACUUUCUGGACUGUAACUGACGUUGAGGCACGAAAGUGUGGGGAGCAAACAGGAUUAGAUACCCCAGUA